This 3268-nucleotide long non-coding RNA is filed under the name Homo sapiens (human). RNAcentral describes it as "non-protein coding lnc-KMT2C-3:2". The record is from RNAcentral. Lineage: Eukaryota; Metazoa; Chordata; Mammalia; Primates; Hominidae.
AGUUUGUAUCUUCUAAAACCUUCAGGCAAAUACAUGUGCUCUUAAAUAUUCCUGUUUCUUGGCUGUUUAUUUUCUUUUGCUCUCCCUGUUUUCCUAUAAGAGCUGAUUUUGGUGUAUUCAGCUCAUGGCCAGUGUCUUUCUGUUUCUAGGCACCUUUUUACAUUUAUGGGGGCUGCUAAGGUUACCGAGUAGAGCCACAGACACUGACAGGAGCCGAGUGAGAAUGUGGCUCACCCGUUCUCCUCCCUCCGCCCUCCCUUCGGCCAAAAUGGGACCAAUGAACGUGAUCACCGAUGAAGCACCAGCUGUCUGCCGUCCUUUCAGGACGGUGAACCAGCCCAUCCUGAUAACCCCACAGUUCUGUCAACGUCGUUUAAAAUGCGCAACAAACAAAGGCCGAUGGGCAGCUGAGCUGUGACGUUGAAACAGAGUGGUGACUUUGCUUGGUUCUUUAACCGUGACUCGCUCUGAGAUGAGCAGAGGGGCCACCUGAGAGUUCAGCUGCGUCCUUCGGGCUUAACCAUACGGAGUUCUUAGAAGCCCCCACUGUUACUCAUUGCAUGGCUUAUGCCCCCAGACCAGAGGAAGGGGUUAGCUAUUAACGAGCUGAGCUUCCCCAGUAGAAGAAGGUGAUUUGGUGGAACUGUAUUUUAGCCCUGCCUUGGAAUGGUUAAUUGGAAUCUCACUCAUCUCUUUCUUCCACUACCUACUUUGAAAAUAAUUUAAUCCCUGUCCUUUACUUCCUGUUGACAGGAAGCCCUCUCUGCCAACCCAUGGCUGGUCACGGACCAAUCGGCUAUCACCAGGCUUUGGGGCGUCUGCCAGGGCCUCUGUGUUUUGAUAUACUCUGACCUGGCAGUGAAGCUGCUGAUGAAUGCACGACAAAGACCAGUUUGCUCCGUAACCCCAGGCUCCCAGCGUCUUUUCCAUGAGCCAAAGGCCUGGUCCUGGAGGGGGGUGCCCUGCAGCUCUGCUGGCCUUCUUCCAGGGGAGUUCAUUGCUGGGGGUGGCCCUGCAGUGACCUCCACUGUGCUGGGGAGGGGAAGAAGAAGGAUGCAACAGGGUGAGGGGAGAAUUUGAGAAAAUAGGAUGCAAAUUCUCCACUUGUGAAUAAAGAAAUAGAGAGCCAUUGCUAAGAACUAUGUUUACGCAGGGUUAGUGCUGGGACCAGAAACCAGUCAACUCGUUUCUGUGUGCUUUCCAGGGACUGGGCUGGGUGUCGAGGACACAAAGAUGAACAGUGCGAUGGAAUUGGAUUCUCCAAAAAAAAGGUCGAAGUCCCACACCCUCUGCACCCCAUACCUGUGAAUGGGACCUUCUUUGAGAUGGGGUUUUUGCAGAUGUGAUUAACAUAUAGAUUAGGAUGAGGCCAUUAGGACCGGCCCUCAUCCACUAUGCCUGGAGUCCUUCUAAGAAGAGGGAAGUUGCAUCCAGAGGCACAGGCAAGAAGGCCUGUGAGGGCGGAGGCAGAGAUUGCAGAGCUGCUGCCACGAGCCUCGGAAUAUGGGCCGCUGAAGGGUGGAAGAGGCAAGGAAGGAUCCUCCCGGAGGUUUCGGAGGGCGUGUGGCUCUCACAGCACCUUGAUUUCAGACCUCUGGCCUCUAGAGCAAUGAGAGAAUCCAUUCUGUUUUAAAGCCCCCAGUAUGUGGUGCCGCAUUAUCACAGCCCAGGAACCUAAUCCAACAGGGCCCUGCCCUCAAAGCACAGCGCAGCCACAGCCUCCGUCCGAUAGAGCUGUAGGGCAGGGGCUUGCACUGAGGGGCUCCAUGGCAUGGCCUGGAGAGGUGGCCAAGGCCCCAGGAAGGGGUCCCAGCGUCCCACUGCCCACAGCACUUUGACACUCCCUUCCAAGGUCUGGGUCUUUCCUUGCGUCCCCUCCUCCCACUGCUGGAAGUUCUAGUGUGGAGGGGCUGUGAGAAAACCAACGUAACGUGACAGAGGCUGGUGUGGCAGCUCUGGGACCCAGGCCUGCUCCCUCUGUCCAGAGCACUUCCUCUUUGCCUGCUCUCCCCUCCUGGGUGGCCACCAAGACUUAGCCUCCUGGGGCCAGGGGUGCAGAGGUGUGUGCGAGGGGUGGGGGUGGGAGGACAGCUCUGUCACCUGCUCAACUUCCAGAAGACGGGCAGGCAGGCAGGCUCCACACAGCCAUUUGCCUAUUGGGCUAAUGUGGAAACCAUUUACUCAGCUCCACCCUGCUCACCACCUCAGCCAUGCCAGCAGCCAUGGGGUGGUGGGCUUGAAGCAUACAUCACCUGGGCCCCAUCCUCAUCUAUAGCAUAUGUUGUAAUAAGCACCCCAGAGAGCCUUCUUCCUCCAUGCAACCUAGAUACGCUUGAUGGGGAGUUGCAUUCAUGGUGCUGAUGACCGAUCAAUAUUCUUGAUUGUAUCAGAUACCAUCUGGGGUGGCAUGGUUUUCAACAGAUUGAGCUAAUAUUGCUGAAGCACUUGUUAUAUGCCAGACGUGUGCUUUUAUAUGAGCCGUCUCUCUUUAUCUCUAAAGUAAUAUGUGAAAUAUUAGUAUUGUUAUUAGUCUUAUUAUCCUUAAUGUAGAAAAGACAGUGUAAGGUUCACAACCAUUCUAGCCCAACCUGCUGAGAAAAGUCUCUGUUGUGUCUUGUCAGGUUUUUGAUAUCUCUGCUUGGCUAUGGCCCAGAUGCCCCACGAGCAGCCAAGGCCUCCCUGGGGUAGGGGAUGAGGCUGGACGGUCAGGCUGAGGCUGGACGGUGGGCCCAGAGAGGGCGGCGUCUGCUGCCUCCCUUCGGUUUGCCCUGUGUGUGUCAGGUCUCCAUACGCUUCACUUGGCCCCUUUCUAGAUGAAGGUCAUUGAAGGUUAUUCUUUACCCUUCUUAUCUCAAAAAUAAAUAACCUGUCUUCUCCACUUUCUUUUCUUUUUCUUUUUUUUUUUUUUUUGAGACAGAGUCUUGCUCUGUCACCCAAGCUGGAGUGCAGUGGUGCGAUCUCCGCUCACUGCAAGCUCCGCCUCCCAGGUUCACACCAUUCUCCUGCCUCAGCCUCCCGAGUAGCUGGGUCUACGGGCGCCCGCCACCACACCCAGCUAAUUUUUUGUAUUUUUUAAUAGAGACGGGGUUUCACCGUGUUAGCCAGGAUGGUCUCAAUCUCCUGACCUCAUGAUCCGCCCGCCUUGGCCUCCCAAAGUGCUGGGAUUACAGGCGUGAGCCACUGCGCCCGGCCUCUUCUCCACUUUCAUAGGUUCCAGUCUCUGGUUCUUCUUUCUCAGUUUGUUGUUUUUGCUUCUUAAAUAAUGGAG